RNAcentral lists this ribosomal RNA (250 nucleotides) under uncultured bacterium. Its description in RNAcentral is "partial 16S ribosomal RNA". It matches the Rfam family "Bacterial small subunit ribosomal RNA", at positions 355 to 621 of the family's 1533-position model. The record is from RNAcentral.
UAGGGAAUUUUCCACAAUGGGGGCAACCCUGAUGGAGCAACGCCGCGUGCAGGAUGAAGGCCCUAGGGUCGUAAACUGCUUUUCUCUGUGACGAUUUUGACGGUAGCAGAGGAAUAAGGAUCGGCUAACUCCGUGCCAGCAGCCGCGGUCAUACGGAGGAUCCAAGCGUUAUCCGGAAUUACUGGGCGUAAAGAGUUGCGUAGGCGGCAGAGUAAGUAGAUAGUGAAAGCGUGAGGCUCAACCUCAUAAA